This 69-nucleotide transfer RNA is filed under the name Notolychnus valdiviae. Its description in RNAcentral is "tRNA-Met". It matches the Rfam family "tRNA". Rfam says of the family: Transfer RNA (tRNA) molecules are approximately 80 nucleotides in length. Their secondary structure includes four short double-helical elements and three loops (D, anti-codon, and T loops). Lineage: Eukaryota; Metazoa; Chordata; Actinopteri; Myctophiformes; Myctophidae. The record is from RNAcentral.
GGUAAAGUCCGCUAAAUAAGCUAUUAGGCCCAUACCCUAUUCAUGUUGGUUAAAAUCCUUCCUUUACCA